ACCGUGCCUGGCCUGCACACAGGUUGUUUUAAAAUGAAAACCAGAGACCCAGCAUGUGCUCGCCAUGGCAGAGUCUCAGCCACCUUAGGAAGCUGCAGCUGGAAAGAGCCAAAAUCUCACCCCGCCCACAGAGAGGGAAAUGAGGCCCCAAGAGGGGAAGUGAGACACCUAGAACCCAGGCUCCUCACUCUUCCCCAGCAGGUUUGAGAAUAGCCAGCCUUCAGGGACAGGGGACUGAGAAACUCCAGACAGAACGAAGUCCGCCUGGAGGUCACUCUCUGAUUAGCGGACGAAUGAUGCCCAGAAAAAAUAUUCCAAAGUGCCUUCCAAGACUGAACCAAUGAUAUCUGAGCCAAUCCAACUGACUCAGUAGCCACCCUAUCCUCAAGGAUCUUGGGAUGUGCAUUCCCAUCUCCCACACAGCCCUCCUGACACUCCCCACAGGGGAGCUUUCACCCGGCACACCAUGGCCAGUACCGCCUAGCGAACACACUCCCACCCCACACCCCAAAGUUCAUAGCUGAGGAUAAGCCAUUUGCUAGUGGACUCGGUUCUCGCAGAAGGGAGGACUGCUGCCAUCUGCACAUCAGCUG
Sapajus apella (tufted capuchin) is the source of this 593-nucleotide long non-coding RNA. RefSeq lists it as uncharacterized. The transcript is spliced from 3 exons. Lineage: Eukaryota; Metazoa; Chordata; Mammalia; Primates; Cebidae. The record is from RefSeq and is a predicted model, not a curated record.